This is a long non-coding RNA of Lacerta agilis (Sand lizard), 1003 nucleotides long. RefSeq lists it as uncharacterized. The transcript has 5 exons. The record is from RefSeq and is a predicted model, not a curated record. Lineage: Eukaryota; Metazoa; Chordata; Lepidosauria; Squamata; Lacertidae.
CAGUCCAUGUAGAGAAUAUUGAGCUGAGUGUCCUGACUCAAUAAGGCUCUAGGCAGUUUCUUACAUUACUGUAAGAUGAGGGGGAGAUGUCUUGUGGUAUUACCAGCAGCACCUUUUUUCUUCUCUUCUCUUUUUCUUCUGUCAAUGGCGUUUGGCUUCAGAGAGUUUUUUUUCUUUCUGGGUUGCAUCAAAGCACGUCCUGCCUCAUCGCACCUUAGAGCAUCCUCAGAGCGCAGUGACAUGAUCUGUGCCAGCCCACCUGGAAACACAACCGUUACAAAGCAGCAGCAUCACCGAUUCUCUUUCUACUUCUGCCAUCAAUGAACUGGAGAAAACAAGAGGCAGGAGCAGGCCAAACAGUGGGGAUGCAGGCAGGCUGCAGUUUCUACAACCAGUCUUGUAUUGAUUCUGCAAACCCCUUAUUAACACCUGGCUGCGCUUUUGCAGUUUGCUGUUUGCCUGUGAGAUUAACCCGGACAAUUGCUUAACAACCUGAAGAAAGAAGGGAACGAGAGACGUCAAAGAUGUUCAUAAAUCACCGAAAAGGAGAAGAAGCCGCAGACCAUCAAAUGUGCAACAGAGCAAAGCAUUUUACGGCAUUAGCAGGAAUGCCUCAAAGGACAAAAUCAUGACCAGACCCUGGCAGAAGAAUGCACAUAUGGUUAAAGGCCAAGAAUGCUGGGAAUUAUAGUUUGGCGACAUGCAAAAAAUUAUCUCUGUAAAUUGCUUGAGCCCCCUCCCCUUAAAUAAUCACACAGCUACAGUUCCCAGGGGAGAGGAAAUUACAUUUAAACCAGUAAGGCCAUAGUGUGGGUUUGCCUCCCGCAAUAAAAAAAAGUUCAAUUUUAGCAGGAAACGAGGUUAGCAACUGCCUUGUAAGACAGUAAAAGGCUUUUUGAUUUCACCUCUCCAGUCAUUUUCAGUUUUAUUUAGAAGCAAUAUAUUAAAGGAGGUGAAAGUAUCUGAUUAUUGCUCCAUCUACUUUGCGCCAGUCCCAGUGUUG